UAACCUAUUGUCUGUGUCAUUUGUACUCUUGAUUUAACGAGAGGAACAGAUUUCAACAAGAUGUUAAAAGAUAUGUUGACUAUCUCUGAAUUGAUUAUUUGCCUCUGCUUAAGAUGUCAAGGUUUUCAAAAUAAACUUAUCAUUUCGACUUAUGGUACUAUCAAAGAACUUAACUUGCAAAAUGGAGAAGAAUUGGAACUUCAGACUGACCUUCAUAGCUUUAUCUAUUCUGUAGACUAUGAUUAUAGAAAUGGAUAUAUAUAUUUUUCAAGAUAUACAAAAAAUGAUAAACAAAGAUUUCGAUAUCCACCAGGACAAAUGACGGAUUUAGUACCUGUUACUUUUGCAAGCAGACCAGUAGGUUUGGUGAUUGACCCUUUAUAUAACCAUGUGUAUUGGACAGAACGAUCCACCGGGAAGCUUUGUAGAUGUAAUUUAGAUGGGUCACUAAAAUCAGUUAUAUUGAAGGAUGAUCCACUCUUUGCUCUCACAUUUGAUUAUCGGAACAGAUGGCUGUAUUACAGUACGGAUGGUACAAAAAAAUCAAUUAGGCGAUUGAAACUUAACGCUUCUGAAAAUCAAACAAUCAUAAAUGUUCAAUCAGAACUAGUUACUGGUAUGAGCAUUGAUAAUGAUAAAGAUCGCCUUUAUUGGAUGGAAUUCAAUAAUGGGUUCUUGAAAUCAUCAACAUUAAAUGGAAGUAGUGUCAUAACGGUUUUAAACACAAAUACAAACAAUACAAACCAAGAUAUCCAUGUGUACCGAGGCAACGUGUACAUUGCAAAUGGUAAUUCUUUACUUAAUGUGACACCAGGAGUAUCAGCGCAUGUCAUUUACAAUAAUACAGGAACAAUAUAUAGUGUAUUUAUUCAUGAUGAAAACCAUGAAAUACGUACGUAUACUUAAUACAUUCGAUAUUCUAAUUGUUUUUAAAAGGAUUUAUGAAAAGUGUUUUUAAGUGAUAGAUCUAAAUUUUGUUAAAAAUAGAAAUUUAAAACAGGUUUAUAUUUCUUAAUUUUAAAUUGAUUAACAGUUGAAUAAAUUAAGAUAAUUCACUGCAUUUAGUAAUAUCAUUAAUUUUAGACAAACGACGAUGGAGUAUCUCAUUGAAGUAGAUUACGUUAUAUAUUUCUUAUUGUAAUGAUUCAUCAAUGUAUUUAAGCAUUAAUUAUACAGUUAGCAGUGAUUAUGUUCAUUUGGUUUGAUAUUCGGCAGGAAAUGUAUUAUUUAACACAAUUAUGUUUUCACGUUCUUUAUUUACUUUUUCUCAAUUAUGUAAAUAUGUGUACUUGCUAGCUUAACUGAUCGCUGUUUUCAUCCAUGCAAAUUUUUUUUCACUAAAUACUUACAAAGUAACAUAACAAAAAUACCGAACUCCAGGGAAAAUUCAAAACGGAAAGUCCCUUAUCAAAUUGUGAAAUCUAAAGCUUAAACAAAUCAAAGGAAUAGAAAACAAUUGUUUUAUUCCUGGUUUCAUACAGGCAUUUCCUUAUGCAGAAAAUGGUGGAUUAAACUUGGUUGUAUAGCUAGUUAACCCUCUCAAUUGUAUGACAAUCGUAUAGAAUUUUGUUAUAUUUACAACAAUGUGUUGACUACAUGUAUGAAGAAUCUUGGUAUGGACAUAAUUGUUGAA
Mytilus californianus (California mussel) is the source of this 1633-nucleotide long non-coding RNA. RefSeq lists it as uncharacterized. The transcript is spliced from 6 exons. Lineage: Eukaryota; Metazoa; Mollusca; Bivalvia; Mytilida; Mytilidae. The record is from RefSeq and is a predicted model, not a curated record.